GAUGAACGCUGGCGGCGUGCCUAAUACAUGCAAGUCGAGCGAACGGACGAGAAGCUUGCUUCUCUGAUGUUAGCGGCGGACGGGUGAGUAACACGUGGAUAACCUACCUAUAAGACUGGGAUAACUUCGGGAAACCGUAGCUAAUACCGGAUAAUAUUUUGAACCGCAUGGUUCAAAAGUGAAAGACGGUCUUGCUGUCACUUAUAGAUGGAUCCGCGCUGCAUUAGCUAGUUGGUAAGGUAACGGCUUACCAAGGCAACGAUGCAUAGCCGACCUGAGAGGGUGAUCGGCCACACUGGAACUGAGACACGGUCCAGACUCCUACGGGAGGCAGCAGUAGGGAAUCUUCCGCAAAGGGCGAAAACCUGACGGAGCAACGCCGCGUGAGUGAUGAAGGUCUUCGGAUCGUAAAACUCUGUUAUUAGGGAAGAACAGAUGUGGAAGUAACUGUGCACAGCUUGACGGUACCUAAUCAGAAAGCCACGGCUAACUACGUG
This 497-nucleotide ribosomal RNA is filed under the name uncultured bacterium. Its description in RNAcentral is "partial 16S ribosomal RNA". It matches the Rfam family "Bacterial small subunit ribosomal RNA", at positions 28 to 507 of the family's 1533-position model. The record is from RNAcentral.